UACGUAGGGUGCGAGCGUUAAUCGGAAUUACUGGGCGUAAAGCGUGCGCAGGCGGUUUUGUAAGACAGAUGUGAAAUCCCCGGGCUCAACCUGGGAACUGCGUUUGUGACUGCAAGACUCGAGUGCGGCAGAGGGGGGUGGAAUUCCACGUGUAGCAGUGAAAUGCGUAGAGAUGUGGAGGAACACCGAUGGCGAAGGCAGCCCCCUGGGCCUGUACUGACGCUCAUGCACGAAAGCGUGGGGAGCAAACAGG
RNAcentral lists this ribosomal RNA (253 nucleotides) under uncultured bacterium. RNAcentral describes it as "partial 16S ribosomal RNA". It matches the Rfam family "Bacterial small subunit ribosomal RNA", at positions 524 to 776 of the family's 1533-position model. The record is from RNAcentral.